Molecule: ribosomal RNA, 360 nt
Filed under: Bacillus cereus
Lineage: Bacteria; Bacillati; Bacillota; Bacilli; Caryophanales; Bacillaceae
Description: bacterial SSU rRNA
Rfam family: Bacterial small subunit ribosomal RNA
Source: RNAcentral
UGGGCGUAAGCGCGCGCAGGUGGUUUCUUAAGUCUGAUGUGAAAGCCCACGGCUCACCUGUGGAGGGUCAUUGGAAACUGGGAGACUUGAGUGCAGACCAGGAAAGUGGAAUUCCAUGUGUAGCGGUGAAAUGCGUAGAGAUAUGGAGGAACACCAGUGGCGAAGGCGACUUUCUGCUCUGUAACUGACACUGAGGCGCGAAAGCGUGGGGAGCAAACAGGAUUAGAUACCCUGGUAGUCCCCGCCGUAAACGAUGAGUGCUAAGUGUUAGAGGGUUUCCGCCCUUUACUGCUGAAGCUAACGCAUUAAGCCCUCCGCCUGGGGAGGACGGCCGCAAGGCUGAAACUCCAAAGAAUUGAC